This 629-nucleotide long non-coding RNA is filed under the name Salmo salar (Atlantic salmon). RNAcentral's name for it is "lncRNA (ENSSSAG00000121234.1)". Lineage: Eukaryota; Metazoa; Chordata; Actinopteri; Salmoniformes; Salmonidae. The record is from RNAcentral.
GCUACAGUAGCCUAGAUAGGCAUAAAGAUUAAUAGGUUACAGUAGCCUAGAUAGGCAUAAAGAUUAAUAGGCUACAGUAGCCUAGAUAGGCAUAAAGAUUAAUAGGCUACAGUAGCCUAGAUAGGCAUAAAGAUUAAUAGGCUACAGUAGCCUAGAUAGGCAUAAAGAUUAAUAGGCUACAGUAGCCUAGAUGGGCAUAAAGAUUAAUAGGCUACAGUAGCCUAGAUAGGCAUAAAGAUUAAUAGGCUACAGUAGCCUAGAUAGGCAUAAAGAUUAAUAGGCUACAGUAGCCUAGAUAGGCAUAAAGAUUAAUAGGCUACAUUAGCCUAGAUAGGCAUACAGAUUAAUAGGCUACAGUAGCCUAGAUAGGCCUAAAGAUUAAUAGGCUACAGUAGCCUAGAUAGGCAUAAAGAUUAAUAGGCUACAGUAGCCUAGAUAGGCAUACAGAUUAAUAGGCUACAGUAGCCUAGAUAGGCAUACAGAUUAAUAGGCUACUUGAUGUUCAACAGAUGUUUAAUUCUCCACAUUUAAUGUCAGUUUCAUUGUGGAGUUUUUCUCAUAACAGAAGCACAUGAUGGAGUUCCAGAACUUUCUUUUCACAUUUCCACUCCAGAGACCCAAGAACUGAG